RNAcentral lists this ribosomal RNA (2269 nucleotides) under human gut metagenome. RNAcentral describes it as "bacterial LSU rRNA". It matches the Rfam family "Bacterial large subunit ribosomal RNA", at positions 565 to 2925 of the family's 2925-position model. The record is from RNAcentral.
UACAAAGUGUCAGAGCAGAGCAAUCUGCGAUGGCGUGCCUUUUGUUUAAUGAGUCUGCGAGUCAGUGUUUGUGGCAAGACUAAGGGCUUCCGGCCCGGAGUCGCAGCGAAAGCAAGUCCGAAUAGGGCGAAUUAAGUCGCAGGUACUGGACCCGAAGCGGAGGUGACCUACCCUUGGCCAGGUUGAAGCAUGGGUAAAACCAUGUGGAGGACCGAACAGGUGAACGUUGAAAAGUUCUCUGAUGAGCUGAGGGUAGGAGUGAAAGGCUAAUCAAACCCCGUGAUAGCUGGUUCUCUCCGAAAUGCAUUUAGGUGCAGCGUCACGUGCUGAUGCGCGGGGGUAGAGCACUGACAAGGCUAGGGGGCACACCCGCUUACCAAACCUUAUCAAACUCCGAAUACCGUGCAAUGGAACGUGGCAGUGAGACAGUGGGGGAUAAGCUUCAUUGUCGAGAGGGAAACAACCCAGACCAGCAGCUAAGGUGCCUAAAUAACGCUCAGUGGAAAGGAUGUGGGAUUACACAGACAGUGAGGAUGUUGGCUUAGAAGCAGCCACCAUUUAAAAAAUGCGUAAUAGCUUACUCAUCGAGUGAUCCUGCGCCGAAAAUGAUUGGCGAUCAAGCGUUAUACCGAAGCUCUGGACUUUACCUUACGGUAGAGUGGUAGAAGAGCGUUGCAUGCGCGUUGAAGGGUGAUGGCGACUGACCCUGGAGCACAUGCAAGUGAGUAUGCAGACAUGAGUAACGUAAAGCCGGGUGAAAUCCCCGGCCGCCGUAAACCCGAGGUUUCCAGGGCAACGUGUUUCGUCCCUGGGUUAGCCGGGACCUAAGCCGAGGCCGAGAGGCGUAGGCGAUGGAUAUCAGGUUAAUAAUCCUGAGCUCGCGACCCUUAAACUGGGGGGACGCAUGAGAAAAGAUGACUAGGUUAUUGAAUUCCGAGUUGAGUCCACGGACUCAGCGCAUCAUUGGAUCGAGUGCCAAGAAAAGCCCCAGCGUAUGCUAAGCGACCCGUACCGCAAACCGACACAGGUGGGUGGGUAGAAUAUACCAAGGCGUAAGAGUGAAACCUGGUUAAGGAACUCGGCAAAUUAGCCCCGUAACUUCGGAAGAAGGGGUGCCUGCAGCGAUGCAGGCCGCAGAGAAAUGGCCCAACCGACUGUUUAUCAAAAACACAGCACUCUGCAAAGACGCAAGUCGAAGUAUAGGGUGUGACACGUGACCAAUGCCGAAAGAUUAAGGCAAGGGGUUAGCCGCAAGGCGAAGCUCUGAACCCAAGUCCCGGUGAAUGUCGGCCGUAACUAUAACGGUCCUAAGGUAGCGAAAUUCCUUGUCGGGUAAGUUCCGACCUGCACGAAUCGUGAAACGAGUUGGGCACUGUCUCAACCAGGCGCUCAGUGAAAUUGUAGUGGCGGUGAAGAUGCCGCCUACCCGCAGAAGGACGGAAAGACCCUAUAGACCUUAACUGUAAGCUGUCAUUGUUUCUUCGGUUUUAAUGCUCAGAGUAAGUGGGAGACGCUGAAGACGCCCUUUAGGGGGCGUCGGAGUCAUCAAUGAGACACCACCCUUUGAAACUGGAGGAUCUAACCCUGAGCCGUGAAUCCGGCCAGAGGACCGUGUCAGCCGGUCAGUUUUACUGGGGCGGUAUCCUCCCAAAGAGUAACGGAGGAGCGCGAAGGUGGGCUCAGCCCGGUUGGCAACCGGGUGUCGAGUGCAUGGGCAUAAGCCCGCCUAACUGUGAGACCAACAAGUCGAGCAGAUGCGAAAGCAGGCCCAAGUGAUCCGGCGGUAGAAAGUGGAAUUGCCGUCGCUCAACGGAUAAAAGGUACCUUAGGGAUAACAGGCUGAUCACGCCCAAGAGUUCAUAUCGACGGCGUGGUUUGGCACCUCGAUGUCGGCUCGUCGCAUCCUGGGGCUGGAGAAGGUCCCAAGGGUUCGGCUGUUCGCCGAUUAAAGCGGCACGCGAGCUGGGUUCAGAACGUCGCGAGACAGUUCGGUCCUCUAUCCUCUGUGGGCGUUGGAAAAUUGAGGGGUUCAGACCUUAGUACGAGAGGACCGGGUCUGACGCACCACUGGUGCAUCGGUUGUACUGUCAAGUGCAUGGCCGAGUAGCUAAGUGCGGACGGGAUAAGCGCUGAAAGCAUCUAAGCGCCAAGCCCAUCCCAAGAUGAGUUUUCCCUAUAGGUUCGUGGAAGACCACCACGUUGAUAGGUCGCAGGUGUAAGUGCAGCAAUGUAUUGAGCCAAGCGAUACUAAUCACCAAUAGACUUCAUC